RNAcentral lists this ribosomal RNA (253 nucleotides) under uncultured bacterium. RNAcentral's name for it is "partial 16S ribosomal RNA". It matches the Rfam family "Bacterial small subunit ribosomal RNA", at positions 524 to 776 of the family's 1533-position model. The record is from RNAcentral.
UACGUAGGGGGCUAGCGUUGUCCGGAAUCAUUGGGCGUAAAGAGCGCGUAGGCGGCCAGAUAAGUCCGGUGUGAAAGUCAAAGGCUCAACCUUUGAAUGCCGCUGGAAACUGUCUGGCUAGAGUCCGGAAGAGGAGAGUGGAAUUCCUGGUGUAGCGGUGAAAUGCGCAGAUAUCAGGAAGAACACCCGUGGCUAAGGCGGCUCUCUAGUACGGUACUGACGCUGAGACGCGAAAGCGUGGGGAGCGAACAGG